Non-coding RNA from Arabis alpina (gray rockcress), 122 nucleotides. NCBI's taxonomy places the organism in Eukaryota, Viridiplantae, Streptophyta, Magnoliopsida, Brassicales, Brassicaceae. The record is from Rfam.
AUUUGCGAUCAUACCAGCACUAAUGCACUGAAUCCCGUUAAAACUCCGCAGUUAACCGUGUUUAAACGAAAGUUGUAUUAGGAUGGGUGAUCUCCUAAUUUUAAUUUAAGCUUUUGGUUCUU